Strigops habroptila (Kakapo) is the source of this 407-nucleotide long non-coding RNA. RefSeq lists it as uncharacterized. The record is from RefSeq and is a predicted model, not a curated record. The transcript has 5 exons. Lineage: Eukaryota; Metazoa; Chordata; Aves; Psittaciformes; Psittacidae.
CCCACGUGACCAAAGGGGGCGGGGCUUCCCCAUUGGCCCCUCCCACUUCCCCAUUGUCCGCGCGGGUCCGUGUCCGGUGGCGCCAUGAGCCCCCCCCCCGCACUGCUCCUGCUGCUGCUGCUGCUGAUGGGAUUGGCCGCUGCAGAGGGAGAUUGCAGCUCCUGCCUGCCGGGCCCGGGAACCAAUCGCAGCUCUGGUGGCCGCUGACAUCAUCAUGACGCUGCUCAUCGCGGGCGGGGCCUAUUGCCUGGGAGGGCGGGCCAGAGAGGCGCGCCCAAGCCCCGCCCCCAGGAGGUGGAGCCGACCUAUCAGGAGCUACAGGGCGCACGUGGAGACGUCUACAGCGAGCUCAAGCGAUAGCCCCGCCCCCUCCCCCUCCCCCCACACCGGGCUCUGGCCCCUCCCCC